Rattus norvegicus (Norway rat) is the source of this 223-nucleotide non-coding RNA. Ensembl annotates it as Nuclear RNase P. The record is from Ensembl. Lineage: Eukaryota; Metazoa; Chordata; Mammalia; Rodentia; Muridae.
GUGCAGGCAAAGUGCACAUCAGGGCAUUCAUGGUCCCUAGAAGGUUUAAGGCUGGAGCCUCCUAUGGCCCUAACAAGGCUUUCCCUUAGUUGAGAAGUGAGUUCCCAGAGAGCAGGGCUUCACAACUAGACAGACUGAACAGGGGAGGCCCCAAGUGCAGCUGACUCCUGGUCACUCAUUUAGUUCAGUAAAUGGCUAUCCUUGCCAAGAGAAAUGCUCGUUC